Molecule: ribosomal RNA, 362 nt
Filed under: uncultured bacterium
Lineage: Bacteria
Description: bacterial SSU rRNA
Rfam family: Bacterial small subunit ribosomal RNA
Source: RNAcentral
AUUGAACGCUGGCGGCAUGCCUUACACAUGCAAGUCGAACGGCAGCACGGGAGCAAUCCUGGUGGCGAGUGGCGAACGGGUGAGUAAUAUAUCGGAACGUGCCCAGUCGUGGGGGAUAACGUUGCGAAAGCUACGCUAAUACCGCAUACGAUCUAUGGAUGAAAGCGGGGGAUCGCAAGACCUCGCGCGAUUGGAGCGGCCGAUAUCAGAUUAGGUAGUUGGUGAGGUAAAGGCUCACCAAGCCGACGAUCUGUAGCUGGUCUGAGAGGACGACCAGCCACACUGGGACUGAGACACGGCCCAGACUCCUACGGAGGCAGCAGUGGGGAAUUUUUGGACAAUGGGCGCAAGCCUGAUCCAGC